AACGAACGCUGGCGGCAGGCCUAACACAUGCAAGUCGAGCGCCCCGCAAGGGGAGCGGCGGACGGGUGAGUAACGCGUGGGAACGUACCCUUUGCUACGGAAUAGCCUCGGGAAACUGGGAGUAAUACCGUAUGUGCCCUUCGGGGGAAAGGAUUUAUCGGCAAAGGAUCGGCCCGCGUUGGAUUAGGUAGUUGGUGGGGUAAUGGCCUACCAAGCCGACGAUCCAUAGCUGGUUUGAGAGGAUGAUCAGCCACACUGGGACUGAGACACGGCCCAGACUCCUACGGGAGGCAGCAGUGGGGGAAUCUUAGACAAUGGGCGGCAAGCCUGAUCUAGCCAUGCCGCGUGAGCGAUGAAGGCCUUAGGGUUGUAAAGCUCUUUUCAGUGGGGAAGGAUAAUGACUG
RNAcentral lists this ribosomal RNA (404 nucleotides) under uncultured bacterium. RNAcentral's name for it is "bacterial SSU rRNA". It matches the Rfam family "Bacterial small subunit ribosomal RNA", at positions 29 to 475 of the family's 1533-position model. The record is from RNAcentral.